AACGAUUGGCGUCUCGCGUCUGUCUGCGCUCUCCAUGAAUGUGAAGUGAAUGAAAGGGGCACUAAUAUUACAAUAUCCGCACCAACGGCUCUCGCGAGCAUUUACAACCAGGAAAAAAAUGCUAACGCAGAACCUGAACGUGGUCGCUCGUCCAUCUCUAUUCCCAGUUUCUUCUUUUGAUUGCCACGGUGAAGCGUCUAAACAGUUGAACAUUUUAAAUUUUGGACUUGCUAGAGCAAGAAGAAAACUCAAGGUUACUCAACUCAAGGCAAGCUUUUGGGACUCCAUCCGAUCUGGGUUCUUGAAGGAGAACUCAACAGAAGUCAUUGAACCUUCAUCCACACUAACAGAAGAGGAAGAACCACUUCCUGAAGAGUUCGUACUUGUAGAAAAAACUGAACCAGAUGGAGCAAUUGAACAAAUAGUAUUCUCUUCAGGUGGAGAAGUUGAUGUGUAUGAUCUUCAAGCCCUAUGUGAUAAGGUAGGCUGGCCUAGAAGGCCACUGUCAAAAUUAGCUGCAGCUUUGAAAAAUAGCUACAUGGUGGUCACAUUGCAUUCCUUAAGGAAAUCACCUGGAUCAGAGGGGAAUGACCAAAAGAAGCUGAUUGGCAUGGCUCGUGCUACAUCUGAUCAUGCCUUUAAUGCUACCAUUUGGGAUGUUCUCAUUGAUCCUAGUUAUCAGGUAAAAUCAGUGUUCCUGGAAAUCACCAUUGCCCCUGGCAAUCACACAAUCCAGGUUUUAUAUAACAAUCUGGAACAUCAAAAUUAAAGUUAUGACAUGUUAACGAUAGUGGGCAGAGAAUCAAACAAUCUGUGUCACAGAUUUUAGUUAAUUUCGUUAUUAUAAUGCUACAAAUUUUGGGAUUUGGAUUUUCUUUAUAGCAUUUAAGUAUUUACAUGGAAACUAAUUUAUUAUACUUAUGGGAUAGUGGAAAAUCUAUGGUUUAUUUUUAUUUCUUCUGGAAUGGUAUUUGUAUACAUUACAUUGUAUGUAAUGUGGAACAGAUUAAGGGGGUGUCUGGUUCAACUUUUGGAUGUAAAUGAUAGCUGAUGGACACCUAAACAGGUGAACUGAAAUGUUUGGCAAUCUUAAAAAAAUAGAGUUGAUAGCUGAUAGCUAACUGAUAUGAUAACCAUCGGCUGCAGUUUGUAUCAGCUUUAAAAAUAGAGUUGUUUCCCAUUAGCUGAUAGCUUAUUUGAUUUUAUUUUUUAUUUAGACUAUAUUAUCCUUUCUCAUGUAACUCGAAAAUUAAUAUUAUUAAUUUGCCUUUAUUUUUUUCCAUUUACAAUCUUAACACCUUAUUUAGCAUUUUGCAAUUUUGUUAAAAUAUUUUUUAUUAAUAACAUAAAAUAUAAAAUACUUAUUUAUUACGAAAAAAUAUAUUUUUUUUCUAAAAACUUAAACUUAUAAGAUUUUCUUUCUCUAUCAACAAUAAAAUUACUGUAUUAUUUUAUAACUACAUUUUUAAAAUUAUUUAUUUUUUAUAAAGAAUUUAAUUAUUUUCUUAUUUCAAUAAUAAAAUAAAUAAUAUGAUAUAAUACAUUAUUAAUUAUAUUUUUAUAUUUUAAUAAUAUAAUAAAUGAUAUAAUAUAUUAAAUUAAUAAAAUAAAUAAUAUAAUAUAAUAAAUUUAUAAUUUUAUAUUUAUUUUUAUAAUAGAAUAAAUUAUAUGAUAUAUACUCUUAUUAGUCAUUUUACAUAUUAACAAUAGCAACAGCUAAACAUAAUUUUAUCAAAUAUUUGGCAUAAAUCAGCUAUCAUCAAUUAUCAGUUAUCAGCUAUAAAUUAACAGCUAUUAGUUGCAUCCAACAGUUAAACUAAACAGGCCCUAAGUAACCAACCUACUAAUGUUUUUAUGGAGGGCAAAAUUCAAGCAGAUAACACAUGGAAUCAAGUUUUAAAGAAGGGAGAUUAGGGUUAUUAAUCUUAUCUGCAUGAGUUUUUCUAACCUAUUAAGUGUUUUAGGUUUCAGAUAAUUGUAUUUUGUUCUUAUUAAGCAAUCCAAAGAGCACAUUUUGAAGACCAUGAUGCUUGUUUUCCUGUUUUUGUUCCAUGUACUGGAGCGAUUUGUGAUCAAGAUAACUUUGCUUUGAACAUGGACAAACUUGAAGAUGGUUUACUAGGCGGAUUACAUUCCCAUCGUCAUUGUAGCUUUUUUCCCUAUAUCUUUCCAUUUGGACAUGGUUUAAGACAUGAAAAAGUUAUGUGCAAUGUAUGGAAACAAAGCACUAUGGUAUUUUGAAUCAGUCAUUCCACCUUGGGGUGAAUACACUGUCAUUUGUCACAACUACAUAUGGGCCAAGGUCUUGGCAAGGCUCUUAUUGAAAAGCUUAUUAGGGCACUUCUACAAAGGGACAUUGGAAAUAUAACACUUUUUGCAGAUAGUCAAGUUGUGGAGUUCUAUCGGAAUUUAGGUUUUGAACCUGAUCCAGAGGGCAUUAA
Molecule: RNA transcript, 2441 nt
Organism: Hevea brasiliensis (rubber tree)
Lineage: Eukaryota; Viridiplantae; Streptophyta; Magnoliopsida; Malpighiales; Euphorbiaceae
Gene name: histone acetyltransferase TAP1
Exons: 8
Source: RefSeq, a predicted model, not a curated record